Molecule: small nucleolar RNA, 93 nt
Filed under: Oryza sativa Indica Group (long-grained rice)
Lineage: Eukaryota; Viridiplantae; Streptophyta; Magnoliopsida; Poales; Poaceae
Description: Small nucleolar RNA R24
Source: RNAcentral
AAAGGCAUGAUGCCAGUAUAAGUCGCUCAGAAGCCAAGCGUAACAAGAGUAUUUCAUCAAAGAACCAAUUGAUCGGUUGGCCUUCUUAUGUGU